GCUUAGCUCAGUUGGUUAGAGUGUGGUGCUGAUAAAGCCAAGGUUGCAGGUUCGAUCCCUGUAUGGGACA
RNAcentral lists this transfer RNA (70 nucleotides) under Podarcis lilfordi (Lilford's wall lizard). Its description in RNAcentral is "tRNA.Ile". The stretch from base 3 to 63 matches the Rfam family "tRNA", at positions 7 to 64 of the family's 71-position model. From Rfam's summary of the family: Transfer RNA (tRNA) molecules are approximately 80 nucleotides in length. Their secondary structure includes four short double-helical elements and three loops (D, anti-codon, and T loops). The record is from RNAcentral. Lineage: Eukaryota; Metazoa; Chordata; Lepidosauria; Squamata; Lacertidae.